RNAcentral lists this long non-coding RNA (567 nucleotides) under Nicotiana benthamiana. Its description in RNAcentral is "long non-coding RNA (NBEN_LNC005443)". Lineage: Eukaryota; Viridiplantae; Streptophyta; Magnoliopsida; Solanales; Solanaceae. The record is from RNAcentral.
UUAAUUCUUGGUUGAACUAGAUUUGAACCUGUACUAGGGUUAACCGCAGAAUCUACACUUUUCCCCUCUUGAUGCGCUUGCAUUUGCAAAAAUCUAGUCUUAUCACUAGGGUGUAUUUUUAUGUGUCUAGUCAAACUAUCCGUGCCGCUACGGUCUCCAGUAAAUUUAUGAAUCAGUGAGUUCCCACAAGUUUUACACUUAGCUUUAUUUAGUUCUCUUACUUGAGUAAAAAUAUUCCAAACUAAUGAUGUUUCUUGACGUUUAGCAGGUUGUCUAUUAAAAGUGGAGUUUCUACAGGUGGGUCGGCCGAUGCAUUACUUGAGUUAUUAACAGGACUAGUAGGUGUAUCAUCUAAAUCUGGUGCUUGGGUUUCAUCAUCAUCAUCAUCAUCCUCAUUUUCCUCUAAGAUAGGUUCAUUAGGAUAAAGAGCAUUCAUAAUUUCAUUAUCUAAUCAAUCACCUACUGCAACAUCAUGUAGAAAUUCACUAUCAGUAAAUUGAAAACAAGGGUGAUCACUAUCAAGAAUUACGGAAGGACGAGGAGGACGUCUAGGUUGGCGACUACUUU